Molecule: ribosomal RNA, 803 nt
Filed under: uncultured bacterium
Lineage: Bacteria
Description: bacterial SSU rRNA
Rfam family: Bacterial small subunit ribosomal RNA
Source: RNAcentral
AGAGUUUGAUCCUGGCUCAGGACGAACGCUGGCGGCGUGCUUAACACAUGCAAGUGGAGCGACGAACCAGGGCUUGCCCUGGGGCAGAGCCGCGAACGGGUGAGUAACACGUGGGUAACCCACCCCGAUGACCGGGACAACCCGAGGAAACUCGGGCUAAUACCGGAUGUGGUCGGUUUUCGUAAGGAAAUCGAGCAAAGAUAGCUUCGGCCUUCGCAUCGGGACGGGCCCGCGGCCCAUUAGCUUGUUGGUGGGGUAACGGCCUACCAAGGCGACGAUGGGUAGCUGGUCUGAGAGGACGAUCAGCCACACUGGGACUGAGACACGGCCCAGACUCCUACGGGAGGCAGCAGUGGGGAAUCUUGCGCAAUGCGCGAAAGCGUGACGCAGCAACGCCGCGUGGGGGAAGAAGGCCUUCGGGUUGUAAACCCCUUUCAGUUGGGACGAAGCUUCGUCGGUUAAUAGCCGGCUGGAGUGACGGUACCUUCAGAAGAAGCCCCGGCUAACUACGUGCCAGCAGCCGCGGUAAUACGUAGGGGGCUAGCGUUGUCCGGAAUCAUUGGGGCGUAAAGCGCGUGUAGGCGGUCCGGUAAGUCCGCUGUGAAAGUCGGGGGCUCAACCCUCGGAUGCCGGUGGAUACUGUCGGGCUUGAGUACGGAAGAGGCGAGUGGAAUUCCUGGUGUAGCGGUGAAAUGCGCAGAUAUCAGGAGGAACACCAAUUGCGAAGGCAGCUCGCUGGGACGUUACUGACGCUGAGACGCGAAAGCGUGGGGAGCAAACAGGAUUAGAUACCCUAGUAGUCC